GACGAACGCUGGCGGCGUGCUUAACACAUGCAAGUCGAACGGAAAGGCCCUGCUUUUGUGGGGUGCUCGAGUGGCGAACGGGUGAAUAGCACGUGAGUAACCUGCCCUUGACUUUGGGAUAACUUCAGGAAACUGGGGCUAAUACCGGAUAGGAGCUCCUGCUGCAUGGUGGGGGUUGGAAAGUUUCGGCGGUUGGGGAUGGACUCGCGGCUUAUCAGCUUGUUGGUGGGGUAGUGGCUUACCAAGGCUUUGACGGGUAGCCGGCCUGAGAGGGUGACCGGCCACAUUGGGACUGAGAUACGGCCCAGACUCCUACGGGAGGCAGCAGUGGGGAAUAUUGCACAAUGGGCGGAAGCCUGAUGCAGCAACGCAGCGUGCGGGAUGACGGCCUUCGUGUUGUAAACCGCUUUCGCCUGUGACGAAGCGUGAGUGACGGUAAUGGGUAAAGAAGCACCGGCUAACUACGUG
Molecule: ribosomal RNA, 468 nt
Filed under: uncultured bacterium
Lineage: Bacteria
Description: partial 16S ribosomal RNA
Rfam family: Bacterial small subunit ribosomal RNA
Source: RNAcentral